Molecule: non-coding RNA, 71 nt
Organism: Fukomys damarensis (Damara mole-rat)
Lineage: Eukaryota; Metazoa; Chordata; Mammalia; Rodentia; Bathyergidae
Source: Rfam
UGGAUCAAGGAUGACCCCUGGUGGCGUGUGAGUCACAGGUGGUAACGAAACUCUGGAAGUCUAAGGGCCAC